Prunus dulcis (almond) is the source of this 351-nucleotide long non-coding RNA. RefSeq lists it as uncharacterized. NCBI's taxonomy places the organism in Eukaryota, Viridiplantae, Streptophyta, Magnoliopsida, Rosales, Rosaceae. The record is from RefSeq and is a predicted model, not a curated record. The transcript has 2 exons.
AGAGGAAGUAAAAGAGAAAAAGAGAGAGAGAUGAUCAAAUUUUUGGAGGAGAUAGCGUGUGUUUUCUUAAAUUUUGAGCUAGCUUUGGAAUCGAGGGUUUAUAUAGAAUUUUCAACCAGCUGAAUGCUCGACACGUGUGAUGCCAUGCGGAAGCUGUUCACACAUUUCAUGGCUUUGGACCAUAACACGUGUCGCCUUGUAACUUGGGAUGAGCCUUGCGGACCAGGACAAGGCUGUUGAGUCUUAUCUUCAUCGACAGUUGCUAUUCUUAGGGUUCAGACAGUUUUGAAUAUGGAACCUACUUUUUUCAGCAUUAUGGAAUUCUUAUAAUAUUGGAUUAUAUUUCCUUAA